Molecule: ribosomal RNA, 292 nt
Filed under: uncultured bacterium
Lineage: Bacteria
Description: partial 16S ribosomal RNA
Rfam family: Bacterial small subunit ribosomal RNA
Source: RNAcentral
GUGCCAGCAGCCGCGGUAAUACGUAGGGCGCAAGCGUUGUCCGGAAUUAUUGGGCGUAAAGAGCUCGUAGGCGGUUUGUCGCGUCUGGUGUGAAAACUCAAGGCUCAACCUUGAGCUUGCAUCGGGUACGGGCAGACUAGAGUGUGGUAGGGGUGACUGGAAUUCCUGGUGUAGCGGUGGAAUGCGCAGAUAUCAGGAGGAACACCGAUGGCGAAGGCAGGUCACUGGGCCACUACUGACGCUGAGGAGCGAAAGCAUGGGGAGCGAACAGGAUUAGAAACCCUUGUAGUCC